This 303-nucleotide ribosomal RNA is filed under the name uncultured Fusobacterium sp. RNAcentral's name for it is "bacterial SSU rRNA". It matches the Rfam family "Bacterial small subunit ribosomal RNA", at positions 1212 to 1513 of the family's 1533-position model. Lineage: Bacteria; Fusobacteriati; Fusobacteriota; Fusobacteriia; Fusobacteriales; Fusobacteriaceae. The record is from RNAcentral.
GGCUACACACGUGCUACAAUGGGUAGUACAGAGAGUUGCAAAGCCGUGAGGUGAAGCUAAUCUCAGAAAACUAUUCUUAGUUCGGAUUGUACUCUGCAACUCGAGUACAUGAAGUUGGAAUCGCUAGUAAUCGCGAAUCAGCAAUGUCGCGGUGAAUACGUUCUCGGGUCUUGUACACACCGCCCGUCACACCACGAGAGUUGGUUGCACCUGAAGUAGCAGGCCUAACCGUAAGGAGGGAUGCUCCGAGGGUGUGAUUAGCGAUUGGGGUGAAGUCGUAACAAGGUAUCCGUACGGGAACGU